CCAGACUCCUACGGGAGGCAGCAGUGGGGAAUAUUGCACAAUGGGGGGAACCCUGAUGCAGCGACGCCGCGUGGGCGAGGAAGUAUUUCGGUAUGUAAAGCCCUAUCGGCAGGGAAGAAGAAAUGACGGUACCUGACUAAGAAGCCCCGGCUAACUACGUGCCAGCAGCCGCGGGAAUACGUAGGGGGCAAGCGUUAUCCGGAUUUACUGGGUGUAAAGGGGGCGCAGACGGCAGCGCAAGCCAGGAGUGAAAGCCCGGGGCCCAACCCCGGGACUGCUCUUGGAACUGCGCGGCUGGAGUGCAGGAGGGGCAGGCGGAAUUCCUGGUGUAGCGGUGAAAUGCGUAGAUAUCAGGAGGAACACCGGUGGCGAAGGCGGCCUGCUGGACUGCGACUGACGUUGAGGCCCGAAAGCGUGGGGAGCAAACAGGAUUAGAUACCCUGGUACA
This 448-nucleotide ribosomal RNA is filed under the name uncultured bacterium. RNAcentral's name for it is "partial 16S ribosomal RNA". It matches the Rfam family "Bacterial small subunit ribosomal RNA", at positions 331 to 794 of the family's 1533-position model. The record is from RNAcentral.